GAUGAACGCUGGCGGCGUGCUUAACACAUGCAAGUCGAACGGAAAGGCCCUGCUCUUGUGGGGUGCUCGAGUGGCGAACGGGUGAGUAACACGUGAGUAACCUGCCCUUGACUUUGGGAUAACUUUAGGAAACUGGGGCUAAUACCGGAUAGGAGCUCCUGCUGCAUGGUGGGGGUUGGAAAGUUUCGGCGGUUGGGGAUGGACUCGCGGCUUAUCAGCUUGUUGGUGGGGUAGUGGCUUACCAAGGGUUUGACGGGUAGCCGGCCUGAGAGGGUGACCGGCCACAUUGGGACUGAGAUACGGCCCAGACUCCUACGGGAGGCAGCAGUGGGGAGUAUUGCACAAUGGGCGGAAGCCUGAUGCAGCGACGCCGCGUGCGGGAUGACGGCCUUCGGGUUGUAAACCGCUUUCGCAUGUGACGAAGCGUGAGUGACGGUAAUGGGUAAAGAAGCACCGGCUAACUACGUG
RNAcentral lists this ribosomal RNA (468 nucleotides) under uncultured bacterium. RNAcentral's name for it is "partial 16S ribosomal RNA". It matches the Rfam family "Bacterial small subunit ribosomal RNA", at positions 28 to 507 of the family's 1533-position model. The record is from RNAcentral.